Molecule: long non-coding RNA, 963 nt
Organism: Mesocricetus auratus (golden hamster)
Lineage: Eukaryota; Metazoa; Chordata; Mammalia; Rodentia; Cricetidae
Exons: 3
Source: RefSeq, a predicted model, not a curated record
GAUAAACCCUGUCUCGAAAAACAAAACAAAACAAAAACCCUAAAAGAAUGGGAUUAAGACCAGUCCUUUACAGGGUAGCACAUGAAAGUGGAAUAUCACUGUACUUGUAAUGAAUGCAAGUUUUAUUCAAAUUUAACCCAUUCUGUGACUGAGAUUCUUAGGAUUUUGGAAAGCGGAAGGAUAAAAAAAUGGAACACUUCACCAAGAACAGAAAUGGCUGAGCAUACUGGAAUGGGAACAUGGAGUGAGGGGCUUUGGUACGAAGAGGAUGUGAGCUGCAUUUGAGGCUGUUUUGAAGGGAAUGUUUCUCCUCCAGUCUUUAUAUCAUCAACGACAAGCUGUUUGUGAGGAAUGUCCAAGGGAUUCCCUGUGCCUCCAUCGCUGUGGCCACAUCUUCUGACUAUUUGCCUGGCCUCUGUGAAGAUCAACAGAAGAUGGUGCAAACAUUCUAUGCACAGUCUGGGAUGAAUGUCGAGGGGUCUCAGAGGUGCCUUAAUGAUGAGCUUUGGGAUUACAGCAAAGCAAUACAAAGCCUUGCUGUGCUCAAGGUGAGGUUUGGAAAUUAAAACCAAGUGAUAAAAUGCCAGGUGGCCUGGAAAUGAUGCUAGUAUUCUUGUAUCUGCUGAUCUCCUAAUUGCCUCCUUUACCUCCUCCUGGUGAAGGACACAAGCCCAGAGGAUACCUUCACACAGACAGGUCCAGGAUCCUAAGAACACACAAAGAAGAAAUUCCUAGGUGCUGCUGUCUUCUUUCUUCAAACCUCUGUUGUCAUUUUCUUCUAGUAAUUUCCAUGUAAAUGAAUUGGGCCAUCUAGUUACAUUCUGGAAGCUAACGCCUAUCUUGUAAAGCUAACUCAUUCAUACAUCUAAAGGAAUUGUUGUUUGUGUAUUUGCCACAUAUUUCAGAAUCCUUGUUUCUUAUAUUUUCUUUUAUUAUAAAUUUUAUUAAAUUUGUUGAGCAUUU